GUUAAUGUAGCUUAAUUACAAAGCAAAGCACUGAAAAUGCUUAGAUGGAUUCCUAUGAUCCCAUAAACA
RNAcentral lists this transfer RNA (69 nucleotides) under Mylomys dybowskii (African groove-toothed rat). Its description in RNAcentral is "tRNA-Phe". It matches the Rfam family "tRNA". Rfam says of the family: Transfer RNA (tRNA) molecules are approximately 80 nucleotides in length. Their secondary structure includes four short double-helical elements and three loops (D, anti-codon, and T loops). The record is from RNAcentral. Lineage: Eukaryota; Metazoa; Chordata; Mammalia; Rodentia; Muridae.